GGAAAACAGGGAGGAAGUGAGCGGUUUGAUCAGCCUGCUAUCACGGUGUUCUGGCUCUCUUAUUUAGCCAGGCGCUUAAGGGACAGAUACAUCACAUCCUAAGUUUGGGAAAGGCCUUUGACCCAUGUCAUCUGAGCGUCUCCUCCAGUAGCUCUGAAAGCUGUGGACACCAAUGGCCAGGAUUCCUUCUCCCCUGGUUUUUGAGGAUCCCUGGGUCUUCUGAGACUGGCCAGGAGAGGGAUGGUGGGGCCAGUGGUUGUGUGAAAGCAGGAGGGGCAGCCCUCCUGGACAAGUGUGAUCCCCCUAUAAACGGCUCUCAGGAGGUUAGUGAGUAGGAGAUUCUGCCUUGUUCUGAUGAGCCUGUGCAGGGGCUCCAGGGGAGCAUGCUGUCCAGGGGGCACAGAAGGGUGGUGAGUGUGAUCAAAUCUAGUCUCACUCCCACUUUUUAGUCUCACUCCUACUUUUGUCCACCACCCCUGCCUCCUGGAUCUUCUCCCACUUUUUUUUUCAGCUUUAGGACCUGGGGAGAUCCUGUGAGUCAAGGCAGACACCCAAUCCUGCCCCCACACUCGGGGUCCUCCAAGAGGUUGGGGGGCAGAGUCCCAGAGCAGCCCUUUACCCCAGGUCCAGGCCCUGGAAUCCUGAGACUCGCGUUUCCUUGGCCAGUGGUAACACAGGACGUGUGUGCGCAUGUGCAAGUGUGGAUGUAUGUGUGUGCGUGUGUUUUGCUCAUUUCUUUAGGGAACUUGGGAGUCGGGGUUGGAGGUGCUGGGCAAUGGAACUUCAAAUUCAAUGUCGCCCAGCAGUGAGGGGAGUCGGGAGGUGAGGCCUGUAGGCCAACCAAUUGGUGGAGUCUCAGCGAUAGCCCAGGUGAGAAGUGGUUCACCCAGAGGGGCAGGGUGGGGGCCUCGGGCAGAUCUGUCCCUCUUGGCACCUCUGUCCUCAAAUGUCCAAAAUGUUGGAGGACCUCUGUUCAUAUCCCACGCCUGGGCUCUUGCCAGCAGUGGAGUUACUGUAGAGGGAUGUCCCAAGCUUGUUUUCCAAUCAGUGUUAAGCUGUUUGAAACUCUCCUGUGUCUGUGUUUUGUUUGUGCGUGUGUGUGAGAGCACAUCAGUGUGUGCAGGCUGUGUUUCCCCAUUUCUCUCCUCCCUUCAGACCCAUCAUUGAGAACAAAUGUAAGAAAUCCCUUCCCACCACCCUCCCUGCCUCCCAGGCCCUCUGCGGGGGAAACAAGAUCACCCAGCAUCCUUCCCCACCCCAGCUGUGUAUUUAUAUAGAUGGAAAUAUACUUUAUAUUUUGUAUCAUCGUGCCUAUAGCCGCUGCCACCGUGUAUAAAUCCUGGUGUAUGCUCCUUAUCCUGGACAUGAAUGUAUUGUACACUGACGCGUCCCCACUCCUGUACAGCUGCUUUGUUUCUUUGCAAUGCAUUGUAUGGCUUUAUAAAUGAUAAAGUUAAAGAAAACUC
This 1466-nucleotide long non-coding RNA is filed under the name Homo sapiens (human). Its description in RNAcentral is "non-protein coding lnc-DIRC3-3:1". Lineage: Eukaryota; Metazoa; Chordata; Mammalia; Primates; Hominidae. The record is from RNAcentral.